This 495-nucleotide ribosomal RNA is filed under the name uncultured bacterium. Its description in RNAcentral is "partial 16S ribosomal RNA". It matches the Rfam family "Bacterial small subunit ribosomal RNA", at positions 28 to 507 of the family's 1533-position model. The record is from RNAcentral.
GACGAACGCUGGCGGCGUGCCUAAUACAUGCAAGUAGAACGCUGAAGGAGGAGCUUGCUCUUCUGGAUGAGUUGCGAACGGGUGAGUAACGCGUAGGUAACCUGCCUGGUAGCGGGGGAUAACUAUUGGAAACGAUAGCUAAUACCGCAUAACAGUAGAUGUUGCAUGACAUUUGCUUAAAAGGUGCAAUUGCACCACUACCAGAUGGACCUGCGUUGUAUUAGCUAGUUGGUGGGGUAACGGCUCACCAAGGCGACGAUACAUAGCCGACCUGAGAGGGUGAUCGGCCACACUGGGACUGAGACACGGCCCAGCCUCCUACGGGAGGCAGCAGUAGGGAAUCUUCGGCAAUGGACGGAAGUCUGACCGAGCAACGCCGCGUGAGUGAAGAAGGUUUUCGGAUCGUAAAGCUCUGUUGUAAGAGAAGAACGAGUGUGAGAGUGGAAAGUUCACACUGUGACGGUAUCUUACCAGAAAGGGACGGCUAACUACGUG